Molecule: long non-coding RNA, 883 nt
Organism: Gadus macrocephalus (Pacific cod)
Lineage: Eukaryota; Metazoa; Chordata; Actinopteri; Gadiformes; Gadidae
Exons: 2
Source: RefSeq, a predicted model, not a curated record
CAAACUGGGAAUGGGCCUGGUUGUUGGAUUUGGCUCCAGGAGAGACAGCUCAGUGGGAGGAUUACCCCCACAGAUGCGUCUCACUGGAUGGCUGCAAAUUAAUGAAUUAUUUUAGGUGAUGACUAAAGUUUCCCCGGAUAUUUAAAGUAUGACUGGGGAAGUAUUUCCCAACCGGAGACAGGAAGUCCUGUAUGAUGAAAUUGAUAACGAAACAUCUACCGGUAUGUCGACAAUCUGCAGCAUUCUCCUGCAAUCCCGCGAUCAAUUUAGAGGUCACGAGUCGAUGAGCGUCCCUGAUGAUAUCUUCAACGGAUGCACGUUCAUCGCAGACAACUCCUCCCUCAAGCACCGCCCACCACAGAGUGAAGGACAAGCCACACACGUCUCAGCAGAACUACCAGACUCCAACCACAAUAGCCACAAUAUAUCGCCACAGAUAUGUUGAUGUCAAAAACGGAUAAGCCUCACUGUUGAUUGUCUCAAGGAUAAUCCGAGGAAGCCCCAGCAGACACUCCUACAAAGGAGGCACUGACUCCCAGAGAAAGGUCUGAAGACCGUAAAGACAACCCGGCCUUUCUAUUUUACCAUCAUACGGAUAAACACUGUCGUGCAUCCCCGCGUGUGAUCACGCAUUUUACCAACACAUGGUCGAUAGGCAAAUAUGCUAAGCUACAUUGCUAGCUUGACACAAAAUGACAGAUAACCCCCGAAUGUUAAGACACUGACCUAGGUAGAGCACCGUAGGAAUGAAGCCCCAUCGGAUGACGAACUGGCCGCAUUGGAAGACCUGCUGCAGCCGCUGCUUGGUCUCUUUACUCAGUUUAGCCAUGGCUCAAAGGCAGAGCUUCAGACGCGGCAGGCAGCUUCGUGUGGAUUACAAGCA